UGGCAGAUAAGGAUGCUUUUUCAGCC
RNAcentral lists this non-coding RNA (26 nucleotides) under Homo sapiens (human). The record is from RNAcentral. Lineage: Eukaryota; Metazoa; Chordata; Mammalia; Primates; Hominidae.